AUGAUGUCGUCAAAGCGGUGCUGUUUUACAAGCAGUAGUCAUUGUGGUUUGCAGAGGCUAGAGUGGCUUGACCUGCUCGAUGUUUCAGCUAGCCGCUGCUUUAAAUAUUGUUGUCUGCAUGCUUUAGUCGUUGUGCUCUUGACCCGUCAAAAAUAUAGUGGUUGUGCUCUUGGUUCUUCUUCAGAGGGCGCUAUGCUUAUCAUCAGAAACUUGGUGACGCCGUUUUUCUUCUUUGCAACUUUGAUUGGGCAUGCAGGUGUGUUGUACUUAUACAUGAAAACCGUUGAAAGAGCUCAUCUGCCAAACAAAUUAUGGGAGAGAGUCAAACUGCCCAGGAACUACGAGAAAGCCAAGAAAUACCGAAGCAAGCCUGCACACGGUAGCCAACUUUGCAGCAGAGAGCUUCCAUAG
RNAcentral lists this ribosomal RNA (411 nucleotides) under Triticum aestivum (bread wheat). Its description in RNAcentral is "partial small subunit ribosomal RNA". The record is from RNAcentral. Lineage: Eukaryota; Viridiplantae; Streptophyta; Magnoliopsida; Poales; Poaceae.